This 454-nucleotide ribosomal RNA is filed under the name uncultured bacterium. RNAcentral's name for it is "bacterial SSU rRNA". It matches the Rfam family "Bacterial small subunit ribosomal RNA", at positions 340 to 786 of the family's 1533-position model. The record is from RNAcentral.
UACGGGAGGCAGCAGUGGGGAAUAUUGCACAAUGGGCGAAAGCCUGAUGCAGCUAUGCCGCGUGUAUGAAGAAGGCCUUAGGGUUGUAAAGUACUUUCAUCGGGGAGGAAAAAACAAAACUAAUAAUUUUAUUUCUUGACGUUACCCGAAAAAGAAGCACCGGCUAACUCCGUGCCAGCAGCCGCGGUAAUACGGAGGGUGCUAGCGUUAAUCAGAAUUACUGGGCGUAAAGAGCACGUAGGUGGUUUUUUUAAAGUCAGAUGUGAAUCCCUGGGCUUAACCUGGAACUGCAUUUUGAAACUGAAAUACUGAGUAUCGUAGAGGGAGGUAGAAUUCUAGGUGUAGCGGUGAAAUGCGUAGAUAUCUGGAGGAAUACCUGUGGCGAAAGCGGCCUCCUAAACGAAUACUGACACUGAGGUGCGAAAGCGUGGGGAGCAAACAGGGAUUAGAUACC